RNAcentral lists this ribosomal RNA (492 nucleotides) under uncultured bacterium. Its description in RNAcentral is "partial 16S ribosomal RNA". It matches the Rfam family "Bacterial small subunit ribosomal RNA", at positions 29 to 507 of the family's 1533-position model. The record is from RNAcentral.
AGUGAACGCUGGCGGUAGGCCUAACACAUGCAAGUCGAACGGCAGCACAGUAAGAGCUUGCUCUUACGGGUGGCGAGUGGCGGACGGGUGAGGAAUACAUCGGAAUCUACUUUUUCGUGGGGGAUAACGUAGGGAAACUUACGCUAAUACCGCAUACGACCUACGGGUGAAAGCAGGGGAUCUUCGGACCUUGCGCGAUUGAAUGAGCCGAUGUCGGAUUAGCUAGUUGGCGGGGUAAAGGCCCACCAAGGCGACGAUCCGUAGCUGGUCUGAGAGGAUGAUCAGGCAAACUGGAACUGAGACACGGUCCAGACUCCUACGGGAGGCAGCAGUGGGGAAUAUUGGACAAUGGGCGCAAGCCUUAUCCAGCCAUACCGCGUGGGUGAAGAAGGCCUUCGGGUUGUAAAGCCCUUUUGUUGGGAAAGAAAAGCAGCAGGUUAAUACCCCGCUGUUCUGACGGUACCCAAAGAAUAAGCACCGGCUAACUUCGUG